Molecule: ribosomal RNA, 206 nt
Filed under: uncultured bacterium
Lineage: Bacteria
Description: partial 16S ribosomal RNA
Rfam family: Bacterial small subunit ribosomal RNA
Source: RNAcentral
AGCGUAGACGGCAAGGCAAGUCUGAUGUGAAAACCCAGGGCUUAACCCUGGGACUGCAUUGGAAACUGUCUGGCUCGAGUGCCGGAGAGGUAAGCGGAAUUCCUAGUGUAGCGGUGAAAUGCGUAGAUAUUAGGAAGAACACCAGUGGCGAAGGCGGCUUACUGGACGGUAACUGACGUUGAGGCUCGAAAGCGUGGGAGCAAACA